This is a long non-coding RNA of Juglans microcarpa x Juglans regia, 278 nucleotides long. RefSeq lists it as uncharacterized. The transcript is spliced from 3 exons. Lineage: Eukaryota; Viridiplantae; Streptophyta; Magnoliopsida; Fagales; Juglandaceae. The record is from RefSeq and is a predicted model, not a curated record.
UCGGUUUCCCCUGUUUUAGAUAUAAAAAACAGAGCAUUUCAGCCACCAUCCAAGCCGCUGCAGUCACGCUCCAUCGGGAGCUACACCGUGUCGUGCCCCCACAGAAACCGCCGGCGAGGACAUUCCUUCACCCCGGUCCGCCGCACACUGCCUCAUCCCACGCUAGUGACCAGGCGCCACCCUCGUCCGCCGUAGCCAGCCUCAGCUCCACGCCGUCGUGCUCCCCCACCUCUCCGUGACGAUUAAUUUUUGUUCGGCAUUGUUGAGGAAAUUUUCGA